GGUGAGUAAUGUCUGGGAAACUGCCUGAUGGAGGGGGAUAACUACUGGAAACGGUAGCUAAUACCGCAUAACGUCGCAAGACCAAAGAGGGGGACCUUCGGGCCUCUUGCCAUCGGAUGUGCCCAGAUGGGAUUAGCUAGUAGGUGGGGUAACGGCUCACCUAGGCGACGAUCCCUAGCUGGUCUGAGAGGAUGACCAGCCACACUGGAACUGAGACACGGUCCAGACUCCUACGGGAGGCAGCAGUGGGGAAUAUUGCACAAUGGGCGCAAGCCUGAUGCAGCCAUGCCGCGUGUAUGAAGAAGGCCUUCGGGUUGUAAAGUACUUUCAGCGGGGAGGAAGGGAGUAAAGUUAAUACCUUUGCUCAUUGACGUUACCCGCAGAAGAAGCACCGGCUAACUCCGUGCCAGCAGCCGCGGUAAUACGGAGGGUGCAAGCGUUAAUCGGAAUUACUGGGCGUAAAGCGCACGCAGGCGGUUUGUUAAGUCAGAUGUGAAAUCCCCGGGCUCAACCUGGGAACUGCAUCUGAUACUGGCAAGCUUGAGUCUCGUAGAGGGGGG
Molecule: ribosomal RNA, 560 nt
Filed under: Escherichia coli
Lineage: Bacteria; Pseudomonadati; Pseudomonadota; Gammaproteobacteria; Enterobacterales; Enterobacteriaceae
Description: bacterial SSU rRNA
Rfam family: Bacterial small subunit ribosomal RNA
Source: RNAcentral